AACGAACGCUGGCGGCAGGCCUAACACAUGCAAGUCGAGCGAGACCUUCGGGUCUAGCGGCGGACGGGUGAGUAACGCGUGGGAACGUGCCCGUUUCUGCGGAAUAGCCUCGGGAAACUGAGCGUAAUACAGCAUACGCCCUUUGGGGAUAAGAUUUAUCGGUAAAGGAUCGGGCCGCGUUGGAUUAGGUAGUUGGUGGGGUAAUGGCCUACCAAGCCUACGAUCCAUAGCUGGUUGGAGAGGAUGCUCAGCCACACUGGGACUGAGACACGGCCCAGAAUCCUACGGGAGGCAGCAGUGGGGAAUCUUAGACAAUGGGGGCAACCCUGAUCUAGCCAUGCCGCGUGAGUGAUGAAGGCCUUAGGGUUGUAAAGCUCUUUCAGCUGGGAAGAUAAUGACGGUACCAGCAGAAGAAGCCCCGGCUAACUCCGUG
This 433-nucleotide ribosomal RNA is filed under the name uncultured bacterium. RNAcentral describes it as "partial 16S ribosomal RNA". It matches the Rfam family "Bacterial small subunit ribosomal RNA", at positions 29 to 507 of the family's 1533-position model. The record is from RNAcentral.